GGGCGUCGCCAAGUGGUUAAGGCAGUGGCUUGUGGCGCCACCAUUCGGGGGUUCGAGUCCCCUCGCUCGCCCUUCA
RNAcentral lists this transfer RNA (76 nucleotides) under Cyanobium sp. CACIAM 14. RNAcentral describes it as "tRNA-His". It matches the Rfam family "tRNA". Rfam says of the family: Transfer RNA (tRNA) molecules are approximately 80 nucleotides in length. Their secondary structure includes four short double-helical elements and three loops (D, anti-codon, and T loops). Lineage: Bacteria; Bacillati; Cyanobacteriota; Cyanophyceae; Synechococcales; Prochlorococcaceae. The record is from RNAcentral.